CAACCCUCGAGCCCCUACGGGCUUGGUGUUGGGGACUCGGCCGCCGCCCACGGCCGGCCGGCCCCGAAAUGCAGUGGCGGUCCCGCCCGCAGCGUCCUCUCGCGUAGUAGCACACACCUCGCACUGGAACGCGGCGCGGCCACGCCGUAAAGCAAAGAGGCGCCCGCCUACUUUCUCUUUCAAGG
This 185-nucleotide unclassified non-coding RNA is filed under the name uncultured Acremonium. Its description in RNAcentral is "sequence contains ITS2". The record is from RNAcentral. Lineage: Eukaryota; Fungi; Ascomycota.